Molecule: ribosomal RNA, 595 nt
Filed under: Streptomyces mirabilis
Lineage: Bacteria; Bacillati; Actinomycetota; Actinomycetes; Kitasatosporales; Streptomycetaceae
Description: bacterial SSU rRNA
Rfam family: Bacterial small subunit ribosomal RNA
Source: RNAcentral
GAGCCCGCGGCCUAUCAGCUUGUUGGUGAGGUAAUGGCUCACCAAGGCGACGACGGGUAGCCGGCCUGAGAGGGCGACCGGCCACACUGGGACUGAGACACGGCCCAGACUCCUACGGGAGGCAGCAGUGGGGAAUAUUGCACAAUGGGCGAAAGCCUGAUGCAGCGACGCCGCGUGAGGGAUGACGGCCUUCGGGUUGUAAACCUCUUUCAGCAGGGAAGAAGCGAAAGUGACGGUACCUGCAGAAGAAGCGCCGGCUAACUACGUGCCAGCAGCCGCGGUAAUACGUAGGGCGCAAGCGUUGUCCGGAAUUAUUGGGCGUAAAGAGCUCGUAGGCGGCUUGUCACGUCGGGUGUGAAAGCCCGGGGCUUAACCCCGGGUCUGCAUUCGAUACGGGCUAGCUAGAGUGUGGUAGGGGAGAUCGGAAUUCCUGGUGUAGCGGUGAAAUGCGCAGAUAUCAGGAGGAACACCGGUGGCGAAGGCGGAUCUCUGGGCCAUUACUGACGCUGAGGAGCGAAAGCGUGGGGAGCGAACAGGAUUAGAUACCCUGGUAGUCCACGCCGUAAACGGUGGGAACUAGGUGUUGGCGACAUUC